UACGGAGGGUGCGAGCGUUGUCCGGAAUCACUGGGCGUAAAGGGCGCGUAGGCGGCUCGCCAAGCGUGCGGUGAAAGCCCGGGGCUCAACCCCGGGUCGGCCGUGCGAACUGGCGGGCUAGAGCCCACUAGAGGCAGGCGGAAUUCCGGGUGUAGCGGUGGAAUGCGUAGAGAUCCGGAAGAACACCGGUGGCGAAGGCGGCCUGCUGGGGUGGAGCUGACGCUGAGGCGCGACAGCGUGGGGAGCAAACAGGAUUAGAAACCCCCGUAG
Molecule: ribosomal RNA, 270 nt
Filed under: uncultured bacterium
Lineage: Bacteria
Description: partial 16S ribosomal RNA
Rfam family: Bacterial small subunit ribosomal RNA
Source: RNAcentral